UGCUGUGACUAUUAUAAUUAAUGGGACACUGAACUUUUUAAGUUGUGGGUCUACAGUUGCGUGCAGCCAGCUGAUUACCACCAUCAGCUGAUUAUUAUCGCCAGCUGACUCUCCCCUCUAAUGAGCGACGCAGCGCUGAAACGACUGAUGGACUGAAUUAAGAAAUAGGUGCGGAGGUGCGGCGAAGCGGGGGACACCGGCAGAUGAGGCAGCACGGCAGCAAGGUGCGGGUGGAAGGCACCGACUCCAGCAACGACAACGAAACCGAGGCGGUUGGCCGGAGAUCGAGAAGGGCUGGACCGAAGUGGUUGACGGAGUCAAUUAACGCACCAACCCAAUGGAAGCCUCCCCUGCCAGAGACGCACGCUGCUGUGGAGCCGGCUCAACGCACACCAGUGGACCGCCUCCUGGGGAAUUAAAGUCGGCUUGUGGGAGCGGUUGCCUAUUAAUGACCGGUUGCCUAUUAAUGACGCUCAGCUACUCUCGUGCAAUCUUUAGCCCUUUGAACUGCUGCUGCUCUUGCAUGCUUUUUAUGGACAAAGCUGACUGAACUUUUGGUGUGGCUCCGUGGGUUAUCUGUCUAGUUGGGGGUAUUUAUUAUUACUGUACGAGGGAAAUAACUAGUGGUGUUUUUUAUUAUAUGUUUUUGCUGGGCAUUUUUAAUCUUCUUUUUUUGUAGGCUAAUAGUAAUAAAAUUUGAAAAUGGA
Long non-coding RNA from Alosa sapidissima (American shad), 707 nucleotides. RefSeq lists it as uncharacterized. NCBI's taxonomy places the organism in Eukaryota, Metazoa, Chordata, Actinopteri, Clupeiformes, Clupeidae. The record is from RefSeq and is a predicted model, not a curated record. The transcript is spliced from 2 exons.